CAAGCCUGGACUCUGCAUCCUCCUGCUGUCUUCAGUUUCCUCACCUCUUAACACAGGGUAAUGAGCUCUCCCUACGUUCCUCCACUGCUGACCGCUAUAAGGAGUGACCGUGAGAAUGUAAGACAGGCUGCUUUGUUAGGCAGGAUGCGUAUGUGAAGAGUAUUAUUCUAAAUAAUAUUAAUGAGACAGAACCCUGUUUACUCUCUUUGGAGGCAAACAAGAUUCUGAAGUGGUAAUGAGGGAACAUUUCUUCCUUUUGAUCUGCGCAUAAGCCUGGUCUUACCACACAAAGAGAAUUCUAGUCAUGGGGGCAUAUUAGACCUUGUUACAGGACCUGUGAAAGGGCUCUGUGAAACAACUUAAAAACAAGAAAAUUUCUUCUUAAUAAGAAAAGAAAAUCGGGGACUGGCCUAUCACAGGAAAAUAAUGGAUAGUGAGAGGAAAUUCUCUUGUAAAAACCAUUUCAUUAGCUUUAUAGGAAUACAGGAAAUGUCAUGGCUUCCCACAUUUGUGAGAGACCCAUGAAAGAUUGUUUUUUAUCUGCUCCAGAUCCCUACUCUAAGCCAUCCACGAUGAGGAAAAGUUAAAUACAGUUAGUGCACAGGGAUUCAUUUUAUGAGGCUGUGCCCAAAGAUAAAGGCUCUCAGGGGAAAUUUGUGGAAGGCAAAGACAAUGAUAUUUUUAAUGACAGCAGGACAGUAGCAUUGAUCACAUCAGAAUGCAUAUUUGAGAGUUAAAAUGUGAAGCUCUGUCCAGUGGGAAUGGCACUGGGGACCACUGAUUUUUAGGAAACUUUACUAAGUCACAAAAGGAAGUGUUGAAGAAUGUGGGGUGAUUGCUGUUACAAUAUGUUACUACAUUGAAUGAUUUUAUUUACUUGAGACAAGAUCUCACUCUGUCACCCAGCCUAGAGCACAGUGGUACAAUCAUGGCUCACUGUAGCCUUGACCUCCUGGGCCCAAGCUAUCCUCCCCGCUCAGACUCUCGAG
This 989-nucleotide long non-coding RNA is filed under the name Homo sapiens (human). RNAcentral describes it as "LHRI_LNC633.1". Lineage: Eukaryota; Metazoa; Chordata; Mammalia; Primates; Hominidae. The record is from RNAcentral.